UCUUGUGGAACAGGAACAUUAUGCCAAACUUUGGUCAUAUGGUGUAAGGAUAGAAGCUAACGACAUGUCAGAUGGGAAAAAGUAUUUCAAUAGAUUCUAUGUGUGUUUUGAGGGUGUGAUAAAGGGAUGGAUGGGGUUGUAGGAAAAUAAUAGGGCUAGAUGGUGGUUUCUUAAAGGGAAUAUGCAAAGGGUAAUUGCUUAGUAUAGUUGGAAGGGAUGCAAAAACUAUGGCGCUUCUUCCUCGAACGCCGACCACCCCUUCUCAUGCUCCAUCAACGACUUCUUCUGCCUCCAACCCUCCCAUCGACCACUAUCGUCGUCGAUACUCCACCACCGACAUUUUCUCCUGCGCAACCUCCUUGCCCGCAACCUUUUCCACCGUCGUCUUUCCAACUCUCGCUCUCUUAAUUCAAGUAUUUUACUUACAUUCCCGAUUUUUGAUGAAGUUGUGAUUGCUUUAUUACUUAAAGUUGGGGAGAGUGAACUCACUUUAUCUUGCCCUGUUUAUGUAUGAGCUCAUCCCUUUGUUCGUGGAUUUGCCCCAAUUUGUUUGGAGCUUUGUAGUUCAUGAUCUGCCCUAAAUUCUCUCUACAUGGAUUUGUUCAGAGAUUUGUAGUUCAUGGAUUUUCCCCAAUCUUGAACACAGGUCACGAAAGGUGAAAGUUCCAACUUGGAUCGGUGAUAAUAAAGAAGAAUUUCAAUGAAUGUUACACUGUGAAGAUGGUAGUCAACGUGUCUAAAGCUAUAAAAGUACGAAUUUGAGAUUCUAUUCGUAUAGUAAUUACUUGUAAGAAUCGUCAAUAUCUUGUAACAAUUACUAUUAGCAAUCACUCUCAAACCAUAUUGUUUUAUUUUAUCGUUUAUUUUUAUUAAUUGUCACAAUACAAAUUGUUGGUUGACGAGUUUGAUGUGUGUACAAAGGGAAGCCAAGGGACUUGAAAAAUGUUGAUAAGUUAUGUAAAAACGGAACUGUGUGUAUAUUUGUCUAUAUCUAUGUAUGCGAAAAAUGUUGUUUGAGGGUAUAUAGUCAUUUUG
Molecule: long non-coding RNA, 1035 nt
Organism: Lactuca sativa (garden lettuce)
Lineage: Eukaryota; Viridiplantae; Streptophyta; Magnoliopsida; Asterales; Asteraceae
Source: RefSeq, a predicted model, not a curated record